This is a non-coding RNA of Trichinella nelsoni, 45 nucleotides long. NCBI's taxonomy places the organism in Eukaryota, Metazoa, Nematoda, Enoplea, Trichinellida, Trichinellidae. The record is from Rfam.
CCAACGGCCCUUUUUAGGGCCAAAAUUUUUUGUAUCAUGUACUUU